RNAcentral lists this ribosomal RNA (497 nucleotides) under uncultured bacterium. Its description in RNAcentral is "partial 16S ribosomal RNA". It matches the Rfam family "Bacterial small subunit ribosomal RNA", at positions 28 to 507 of the family's 1533-position model. The record is from RNAcentral.
GAUGAACGCUGGCGGCGUGCCUAAUACAUGCAAGUAGAACGCUGAAGCUUGGUGCUUGCACCGAGCGGAUGAGUUGCGAACGGGUGAGUAACGCGUAGGUAACCUGCCUGGUAGCGGGGGAUAACUAUUGGAAACGAUAGCUAAUACCGCAUGACAACAGUUAUUGCAUGAUAACUGUUUAAAAGGGGCAAUUGCUCCACUACCAGAUGGACCUGCGUUGUAUUAGCUAGUUGGUGAGGUAACGGCUCACCAAGGCGACGAUACAUAGCCGACCUGAGAGGGUGAUCGGCCACACUGGGACUGAGACACGGCCCAGACUCCUACGGGAGGCAGCAGUAGGGAAUCUUCGGCGAUGGACGGAAGUCUGACCGAGCAACGCCGCGUGAGUGAAGAAGGUUUUCGGAUCGUAAAGCUCUGUUGUAAGAGAAGAACGAGUGUGAGAGUGGAAAGUUCACACUGUGACGGUAUCUUACCAGAAAGGGACGGCUAACUACGUG